GAUCAUGGCUCAGGAUGAACGCUAGCGGCAGGCUUAACACAUGCAAGUCGAGGGGCAGCGGGGUGUAGCAAUACACUGCCGGCGACCGGCGCACGGGUGCGUAACGCGUAUGCAACCUACCCAUAACAGGGGCAUAACACUGAGAAAUUGGUACUAAUUCCCCAUAACAUUCGAAGAGGCAUCUCUUUGGGUUGAAAACUCCGGUGGUUAUGGAUGGGCAUGCGUUGUUAUUAGUCUAGUUGGG
Molecule: ribosomal RNA, 244 nt
Filed under: uncultured bacterium
Lineage: Bacteria
Description: partial 16S ribosomal RNA
Rfam family: Bacterial small subunit ribosomal RNA
Source: RNAcentral